GUUGACCUCGGAUCAGGUAGGGAUACCCGCGAACCUACCACCCC
Molecule: ribosomal RNA, 44 nt
Filed under: Pseudocercospora eumusae
Lineage: Eukaryota; Fungi; Ascomycota; Dothideomycetes; Mycosphaerellales; Mycosphaerellaceae
Description: partial 28S ribosomal RNA
Source: RNAcentral